UCCUGGAGAUCAAAGGAUACUACUGUCAAUGGGAAAGAGAACCAUGAUCAAGAGAUAAGUUGCAUCGUAGACACAAUGUUACUCUGUUCAAUAUUGAUGUCUUUUCUGUUCGCAUAGUGUUAACCUUAGUCGAAAUUUCUAGCUCAUGACAAAUAUUUAUUGUACCUUUAAAUGGUUAUUUAAGCAAGAAUAUAUGAGCUUACUGUCCUAGAAUGACCUACAUUCCAUCCACCUUGGUCAUCCAGAUUCAGCUCUGAUGAUGCUAAGGAGGUAGUCCAUUACCAAACAAUCUCAUCAAAGAGCUUAGCUAAAUCUGUUCUCGAGGAAGGUGGCUGGUCAAACUUCAUGUGCUCAAGGGAGGAUACUCAGAAUAAUGUUGAUGUUGCCAUUGUUUUUAUUGGCUCAAAGCUGCAAUCGUCAGACAUAUCUAAAGAUAAGCAAGUUGAUCCAGCUUUAGCA
Molecule: long non-coding RNA, 459 nt
Organism: Zea mays
Lineage: Eukaryota; Viridiplantae; Streptophyta; Magnoliopsida; Poales; Poaceae
Exons: 4
Source: RefSeq, a predicted model, not a curated record